CACAAGCAGCACACUUCUCUCCUUCAGAUUUUUCUUUUCUUUUCUUCCUUUUUCUCCUCUUUGUUCUCCCGCACAGAUCAGCCCUUCCCCUUUCUUUCUUUUCCCUUCUUUCUUCUUUCUCUCCUCGUGCGUUACCAUUCCUCUUCUCUUUGGCUUAGUUGGUGAACACCCGAGUGGGACCCGACUAGUGGGUCAACAACAGUAGAACCAGACGACGUCGGCGGGGCUGAGGUCGUGACUUCCGGUGUGUCGUCACCGGUGAACCUUGGAGACACGAUCUCCGGCGAUGUGAAGUGAUUUCCAACGAAAAUCGGUGGAGAUUUCCAGAUUUAGGGGUCUUAGAAUUCCAGAUUUAUGGGAUCAUGUUCGGAUUGCAGACUUUAAUUGGUUCUCCAAUGUAGAGUCCAAGUGACUAGAGUCCAAGGAGUGUUCGAGUUGGAGUCUAAUGCAGCCAAGAUGAUGUUUCUUUGGCUGCAGGUACUUCGGUACAGUCGAUGGGUCGGUAGCAGUGUGCUUGGGAUAUUAUGACUGAAGCUCACCGCGACGGUUGUAAUUGUCGGACCACGGGUUGUCCACUGUUUUAUAGGUUUGGUAUAGCUUGUGACGUUUGUGUCACAUAUUCUUUGUAAAGCUAUAGUAGUUUUGUAAAUAAUGUGUUAAUAAGACUCA
Molecule: long non-coding RNA, 669 nt
Organism: Alnus glutinosa
Lineage: Eukaryota; Viridiplantae; Streptophyta; Magnoliopsida; Fagales; Betulaceae
Exons: 3
Source: RefSeq, a predicted model, not a curated record